This 253-nucleotide ribosomal RNA is filed under the name uncultured bacterium. RNAcentral describes it as "partial 16S ribosomal RNA". It matches the Rfam family "Bacterial small subunit ribosomal RNA", at positions 524 to 776 of the family's 1533-position model. The record is from RNAcentral.
GACAGAGGAUGCAAGCGUUAUCCGGAAUGAUUGGGCGUAAAGCGUCUGUAGGUGGCUUUUCAAGUCCGCCGUCAAAUCCCAGGGCUCAACCCUGGACAGGCGGUGGAAACUACCAAGCUGGAGUACGGUAGGGGCAGAGGGAAUUUCCGGUGGAGCGGUGAAAUGCAUUGAGAUCGGAAAGAACACCAACGGCGAAGGCGGGUUGCUGGGCUGAUACUGACGCUGAGGCGCGAAAGCCAGGGGAGCGAACGGG